RNAcentral lists this ribosomal RNA (497 nucleotides) under uncultured bacterium. Its description in RNAcentral is "partial 16S ribosomal RNA". It matches the Rfam family "Bacterial small subunit ribosomal RNA", at positions 28 to 507 of the family's 1533-position model. The record is from RNAcentral.
GAUGAACGCUGGCGGCGUGCCUAAUACAUGCAAGUCGAGCGAACAGACGAGGAGCUUGCUCCUCUGACGUUAGCGGCGGACGGGUGAGUAACACGUGGAUAACCUACCUAUAAGACUGGGAUAACUUCGGGAAACCGGAGCUAAUACCGGAUAAUAUAUUGAACCGCAUGGUUCAAUAGUGAAAGACGGUUUUGCUGUCACUUAUAGAUGGAUCCGCGCCGCAUUAGCUAGUUGGUCAGGUAACGGCUUACCAAGGCAACGAUGCGUAGCCGACCUGAGAGGGUGGUCGGCCACACUGGAACUGAGACACAGUCCAGACUCCUACGGGAGGCAGCAGUAGGGAAUCUUCCGCAAUGGGCGAGAGCUUGACGGAGCAACGCCGCGGGAGUGAUGAAGGUCUUCGGAUCGUAAAACUCUGUUAUUAGGGAAGAACAAAUGUGUAAGUAACUAUGCACGUCUUGACGGUACCUAAUCAGAAAGCCACGGCUAACUACGUG